AUGAACGCUGGCGGCGUGCUUAACACAUGCCAGUCGAACGAUGAUGCCCAGCUUGCUGGGUGGAUUAGUGGCGAACGGGUGAGUAACACGUGAGUAACCUGCCCUUGACUCUGGGAUAAGCCUGGGAAACUGGGUCUAAUACCGGAUACGACCAUCUGGCGCAUGUCAUGGUGGUGGAAAGCUUUUGUGGUUUUGGUUGGACUCGCGGCCUAUCAGCUUGUUGGUGGGGUGAUGGCCUACCAAGGCGACGACGGGUAGCCGGCCUGAGAGGGUGACCGGCCACACUGGGACUGAGACACGGCCCAGACUCCGACGGGAGGCAGCAGUGGGGAAUAUUGCACAAUGGGCGCAAGCCUGAUGCAGCGACGCCGCGUGAGGGAUGACGGCCUUCGGGUUGGAAACCUCUUUCAGUAGGGAAGAAGCGAAAGUGACGGUACCUGCAGAAGAAGCGCCGGCUAACUACGUG
RNAcentral lists this ribosomal RNA (466 nucleotides) under uncultured bacterium. RNAcentral describes it as "partial 16S ribosomal RNA". It matches the Rfam family "Bacterial small subunit ribosomal RNA", at positions 29 to 507 of the family's 1533-position model. The record is from RNAcentral.